GUUGUGGCUUAUGGGUAGAGUGCUUGCCUAGCAUGCGUGAGAUACUGCGUUCAAUUCCCAGCACAACA
This 68-nucleotide transfer RNA is filed under the name Marmota monax (woodchuck). RNAcentral describes it as "tRNA.Ala". Lineage: Eukaryota; Metazoa; Chordata; Mammalia; Rodentia; Sciuridae. The record is from RNAcentral.